CUAGAAGAGAAAUUAAAAAAACAAAGGAUCAGCACAAUUUUAAGGUUCUCAUUAAAUAUUUUAAUUUUUUUUUCCAAAAACAAACUCCCAAGUUACACUGCCACAAGUUGUGGAUGGGAGGGCUGGAUUUCCUGAACCCUUCCCAGCAUUGCUCGAGUUUCUUGGUUCCUCCGCUAGAGAAGAGGAGCCCCAGAGCUCUGUAGGCUCCAGAAAAUUCAACUUUAUGCUGUCUACAAGAGGCAUACUAACUCAUAAAAAUUAAAAGACUGACCCAGAAAACACAGCAAAAAGAAAAAUAUCACGAAAUGAUUGUCAGUCCAAUUAAAAUUCAAGACUGGAAGAAUUCAUGGGUCAGAGAAGCUGGUACAAGUGGAUCUGCUCGGCACCUAUAACCUAAUUACCUCUCAGGCUCACACAAGUCUCUGGCCGCUAAGCGAAUGAUCUCCCAAAGGGAUUAUUCUCAAGCAGCACAGAAACUGUCCCUAUGCCUCAGGUGGCCCCAGAACUCUUUCGUACUAGAGACUUAUCUGUUAAUAAAGUUAACAAAGGAAAGUGGCCUUCCAAGAAUGUUUGUUUGGGCCACUACCUGGAAGAAAUAACACUUGACCAUGAGAGACUUGGCUGAGCAGUGCUGGGUCAGCUUAACCAAAGAAGACCAGCCAUCACCCACGGCAAGAGCAGCUCUGACUUGGACCCACUGUUCCCCCAGCCUGUUAGCAGCCUGUGAACAAUCUUUAAGUGACCCCUGGCCCUGUCACAUCUCCAUUCAACAGGGUUCUUGGGGAGGAUGUGUGGACCGAGAACAGUGCCCACCCACACCACCUGUAAGUGUGGCCACGGCAGCCAGCCAGCAUGGAUGCUAAGUAACAAGUGGUAUUGGGGCACAGAUGUGGCGGGAGCGCUUUGGGGCAAAGAAAGAGGUGCUGUGAGUGAGGACAGAAAGGAAGGGGAAAAAAAAGCCUCAUGGGUUAGAGCGCCUCUCACCUUUGGCUCUUCUUCAGAAGACUGGUAAAAGAAAACAAGAAGAGAAAUUGGUUUCCCUGACUUCUCUAAAGCAAGCGUUCUUCAGAAAAGAGAAUCGAUCAGCCUGGUUAAAGUGGAUAAACUAUGUGAUGUCCAUCCAGAGAGGUGUCUAUUAAUGGCUGUAAAAUGGAAAGAUGAAUCAAUGGGACCGAUUAAUAUUUAUGAAGAGUUGAACUAGGCAGAGUGAAAAAGCCUUGUAUAUUGGAUAAGAAAGGAAAAGCAUUGCACACCAUAGGAUGCGUUUGUUUGGCUAAGGUUUCUGUUUUGAUCACUGGGUAAUUGUAUAGAGCAGGGGCGUAUGGUAGAGAAAGAAAAUCUAUAUCUAGAAGUUAUUGACUUUAUGUACAAAAGCACUGGUUGGUGCCUAUUUUUGAGGACCACUCCAUCUUAAAAAUAACUUUGGUUUUGUACGGCCUAGUUGUGGUGGAAAAGGAGCUCCAAAGAGUAAGCAAGUUUCCUACAAAAAGAAUCCAAGCUGUUGAAACUACAAUUAAGAAAUGCAAAGAGUUACUAAUUUUACUACUUAGAGGAAAGGAAAUUCACAAGCAGGAAAGAAACUGUGGAUCAGGGCAAGUUGUAACUCUAGAGGUUCAGAGAUAGGAGCUCUAAUUACACCAGGGCAAGGGAGUACUGUUUGGGGAAAUUUCUGAAACAUGAAAUAGGAAAGCUGAGGGUCAAAAUGAUAUUGUGAUGUGAAUAAAUAGAGAAGACAUGUUUGCAUGGAGCUCAGCUGGGUAAUCAUGGAAAGAAGGAGGGGCGAAGGAGGAAACUGAAAAUCGAAAUAAAGAACAGAAGCACAGACCAUGAAAUAUGCCAAAUAUAGUGUGCAAAUACUCAGAAGGCAUGGAAAGAUAAGUUAGAAGCCAAAACUCAGUUAUCACUAUCGUGUGAAGGAACAAUAAAACUCUUAGCAAAAACAAAUGACUUAGCAUGAGACCAAUACUGCUUUCCUUAGGUAGCUUGGUCCAGAGGGAAAAGGCUGAUAUCACUCCCUAUCAAGGGUUUUUAGACGGUUUAAGUGAGCUCUGCAAGUGGGAGACACGGUGAUGAUUAUUGACAGUUGCUAUCUUUCAAGGGGGAGAAGCAAACUGAUGUUACACAUUAGAAUUAGUUAGCACCACCGAACACAGGUUACAAAAAUACUGGGAGGAAUUCUCUCUCCUGAGCACAUUACGCAAUAUUUGCAAAUGUGUGCAGGUAAGUGUUGACUCUCUCAUCAUGCUGGACCUGGAAAUGGUUCUCAGCAAAUCAUGGCAUGAUUUCUUUUUCAAAGUUGGGUACACGAAUAUUAUCGUAACCAGCUAAGAGCAGGGAGACGUGGCAUGGGAGACUAACAGAUAGUGCAGCUUUUAAGAGAAGACGUAGAAAUCAAUCUAGUAACAAAUAUUUAUUAAGCAUUGGAGUGUGCUAGGCACCAAGAGAAAAGAAACCUCCACAGCUGAUAAAGCCUUUCAAAAUAAUGUCCUCAGUUAAUUUGCACAUUUCCAUGAGGUAGGUGUUGUUAGCCAUUUCCGUUAAUGAGAAAAAAAAAAAUGAGAUUCAGAAAGGUUAAUUAAAUUGGAGAUCUCCUGAUUUUUUAGUUUUAUAUCCUUCCCGUGUCCUUUCCAGGCUUAUAUUCUGGUCCUAUCACUUCUCAGCUGAGUUACUUCAACAAGUUAUUUAUUCUCUGUGUUCCCAGCUGUCAAAAUGAAAAUGCCAGUACCCACCUGGUAAGGAGUGAGAGAACAUUUAUAAAAAUGCUCGGCUGGGUACCUGACACAUAGGAGGUCCUCAGUAAAUUUGUUUUCUCCCUUUCUUCCUGAAGUACGGUGGCAGAGGGAUUCAGCCAGCCAGCCUGGGUAGCACAAGCCAUGAUGCCCUGCUGAAUCUGUGUUCUAGGGUCGGACAGGGGGAGUCCUUUUGCCUAGAGGGAUGGUGUGCGAGGCCUAAGAGGACUUGGGCAGAGUCUUGAAGGACGAGCAGGAUUUGCUGUGGUGGAGAGGUGGUCACGGGUUGAGCAGAUAGGAGAACCAAGGAAUCAAGGCAGGGAAAGAGAGGGGAUGCAUGUGAAGGGCCAGGAGCUGUUAACUAGUUUGCUAAGCAGCAGGCGAGGAUUUAGAAGGAGUUGGAGAAGUGUGGAGGGAGCUGAGGCUCUUGUGAGGGGAACUUUUAUGCUAAGGGUUCCAACUUGGCCCUGUGAAUGAAGGUGAGCUGGGGAAGGUUUGUGAACUUGGAGUCUCACCUGUAAAAGAUUAAUCUGGUGCCAGUGUACAGAAUGGACCGUCAAGGAAGAGGUGGAAAAACAAGGAAAAUUUGUAUUUUAUAGACACACACACACAUAGACACAGAGCCCUUUUUAUUAGAAAACAUAUAAUCAACUUAACCCCAUUUUAAAUGGCUUGGACAUUAAUUUUACUCUUGUAAUUGAUUAUAGAGGUUUAAAACUGUUGUGUUUUUGCCUUUGUGACAUAUUAUGGCUGUAUCUAAAAUUUAUUUGAUGUUAAAUCAAGAACAAAACUCUUCAAUUCUAUUGUUGUUCCUAAGGUAAAAUAUAAUCUACUUUGAGUCAAUUCACUGUGUCAUAAACUUUCCAGGAAUGGGAAACUUGAUAAAAAGCAGAGACUCACUGCAUAUGACAAUAAUUAAAUCUAUAUUCAACAAGUAUAAAAGAAUGGUUGUAGGGGUGAGCAAUUUGGAAGAAAAAAAGCCACUUGACUUAAAUAUGACAGAAAAUCAUACUGAGGUCUGACACCCCAUGACCUUUUUUGAGAUUU
This 3776-nucleotide long non-coding RNA is filed under the name Homo sapiens (human). RNAcentral's name for it is "HSALNT0299144". The record is from RNAcentral. Lineage: Eukaryota; Metazoa; Chordata; Mammalia; Primates; Hominidae.